This is a non-coding RNA of Rattus norvegicus (Norway rat), 1523 nucleotides long. The record is from RefSeq and is a predicted model, not a curated record. NCBI's taxonomy places the organism in Eukaryota, Metazoa, Chordata, Mammalia, Rodentia, Muridae.
GUUUAGCUGACCCUGUAGUUCCUGGGGCUCUUUGGGAGGGGGAAAAAAAAGAUCAGAAAGGCCAAUCUAGAGAGAGGGAACUCAAGGGAUCCUGGCUGAUGGGUAAACAGAACAAUCCUAGAUCUGACCUGUUUUGUCUAAAAGAACAAUGGGUUAAAAGAGAGUAAAGACCAACUGGACAAGCAAAUAUUUUCCACAGUUUCCGCGAAGUCUUGAAGAUAUAGAGCUUGAAAGUGAGCAUCAAGUGAGACAACGAGGACCGCGGAUGGGGAGGAGACCUCUGACAGCCAACGGAGCAUGCGCAGAAGCUCCAAUAGGGAGGAGACGCCCGUGCCAAACAGAACACGAGCAGAAGCUACACUAGGGCAUGUGAUUGUGAACUUAUUUCCUGGAAAAUGAGGGCGGUCACUACUGCACUGUCCCAUGGCAGUGUGCCGCUGCAGGCUGAGAGGAGGAGAUGUGUCACUGAUCCCUGUGUAAUAAGGACCUACUACGUAACAGAUGGAAGGUUGGGUUUGCUUCUUGGAGUCUUUUACAAAGGCAAAUUGAAGGAGUGUGCUGCGUGUCAACUGGGGGAGCGGAUUGCCUGGCACAAUGAGGUUGACAUCGAUUCAGAAAACGGGACAGAAGUCAAGUGACCCGAGUCUCGAACUCUAUUGAAACUAUUAGUGGGAAAAGGUAAAGGGACAAGAUGCAGACAAACUGAGACAGUGGUGCUGGGAUCCAUUUCUGUAAAGCAUCUAGGUAGAAAACAAGCAAAGACCAUGAGUCCCAUUAGGAUCCGGACUUGAGACUCGUUCUGGCUGCCUGUGGACUGUCUCUGAUGCUCCAUGACCAACGACAGAGAGUACAGCCUCACGGCUGCCAUCUGGGGCUUCACUGCUGGAAAGCUCUUCAGGCACCGAUAGGGAGAAUUCGGACCCCGGGAUCUCCUCAGGCAAGCAGUGAGCAUAUGACUGACUGUUCUCAAUCCAGUCCUCUCCUUAAACAGAAGGCCAGAGCCCCACCACCUUCCCUGUAGACACACACUUGCUUGGGCUUCCAGAGUCUGCAGUGCUCCAAAGGUGGCGACAUCCAUGGGUUCACAGCUAACAUGAGUGCACCCCUCGCCAGGCUCCAACGCAUCAUCGGUGGCCCCUUUUCUGAGGAAAUGGGUGCUUUUCCCCAUGUCUUUCUGCCUCUGAGAGGAAGCAGGCACGAACAACACGAUACUGGGUCACAAGGCAAUAUACUGGGUCAUUCACUGUGACAGAAACUUCAGGGGUUGUCUCUGAGGAACCAAACCCCACCGGCCAAGCCCAUUUCCUCUCUUGCUUACAUUCGUUUCUUCUUGAAAUUCUUUUUGUCGGUUCCUGGGUUAAAUUAUUCCUCUGAACCAUUUUCAUGUCUCCUGAAAAGAAACUUGGGGUUCUCCUAAUAUUUUGGGGAUUUAAAAUCAAAUUACCCGAGCUCUCAUUCGGACUAAAAGCAAUAUGAAGAUACGUUAUAAAAACAUAGCAGAAAUAAAAGUAAUGCAAAAAUUG